This 67-nucleotide transfer RNA is filed under the name Hydropsyche pellucidula. RNAcentral's name for it is "tRNA-Pro". The record is from RNAcentral. Lineage: Eukaryota; Metazoa; Arthropoda; Insecta; Trichoptera; Hydropsychidae.
CAAUUAAUAAUUUAAAAAGAAUGAUAAUUUUGGAGAUUGUUUGUAUAAGUAUAAUUUAUUUAAUUGA